AUAGAUAAAACAGAAAUCAUUAACCAAUGACCAAACAACACAUGCCUUGUCUGAAAACAUGUGGCUCGAUAUUCGCCAAUUGUUAGCUCCAAUAACUCAAACUUCUGGCUUGAAUUGCACUGGAAUUUCCAGAUAUUCAAAUAUAAAUAAAUAAAAUUUUAACUUAAUGUUAUUCAUAGUUAGCAACUGUAAUAAUCAUCCUAUAUGACAACUUAUUAUUUGAAGUAUUUGCAAUUACUGACUAUGAAUAUCAUUUGUUGUAUUUAGUGUUACUCUGAGAUGCUAAACAUUGUUACAAAACAUAUGCAAAAAGACAAAAAUCGAAAUAUAUAGACAGAGAUACAAAUAUUUUUGAAUGCCCAUAUUCUCUUGUUCAUAACGGAAAAUCUUAUCUUGUUUACUUUGGAGAAAAUCUUACCUAAAGUUCUCUUGCCACAUCAAUAAAUGAGCAAUCUUAUUUUGCCUACUGUGAGCAAGUUAACAAAUUCCUAUUUUUGGAUAGGAUUUGGUUGAACUGUUAGAAGAAGUUUGUCAGAAGGAAUGACCGCCCCUCACAUCGCCGUGGGUCCCACUUGAAUAAAAAAUCCUGACUCCCAUACGCUUGUGUGUGUUCUGUCAAGCCAUCUGUCAAACCUCCUAUUAGUGGAGCACGGCCCUUUUGGAUAUCCACUUGUUCAUGUAUCCUCUGAAAAUUAAACAACCUAGAUUAUCUAAACAAUGAAACCAGACAACCUUAUCCAUACUGCCUGUAUUUUAAUCCAGGAGAUCUCAAGGUUGGUGUCCGUUGGUUUUUCCCAUGGUGAGAAAUUAAUGUUCAGAGAAUCAAAUAAAUGGUAUGCCUAAACUUGAGUCAGUCUUGCAUGGAAC
This 867-nucleotide long non-coding RNA is filed under the name Olea europaea (common olive). Its description in RNAcentral is "long non-coding RNA (OEUR_LNC011539)". The record is from RNAcentral. Lineage: Eukaryota; Viridiplantae; Streptophyta; Magnoliopsida; Lamiales; Oleaceae.